GACGAACGCGGCGGCGUGCCUAAUACAUGCAAGUAGAACGCACAGGAUGCACCGUAGUUUACUACACCGUAUUCUGUGAGUUGCGAACGGGUGAGUAACGCGUAGGUAACCUGCCUGGUAGCGGGGGAUAACUAUUGGAAACGAUAGCUAAUACCGCAUAAGAACAUUUACUGCAUGGUAGAUGUUUAAAAGGUGCAAAUGCAUCACUACCAGAUGGACCUGCGUUGUAUUAGCUAGUAGGUGAGGUAACGGCUCACCUAGGCGACGAUACAUAGCCGACCUGAGAGGGUGAUCGGCCACACUGGGACUGAGACACGGCCCAGACUCCUACGGGAGGCAGCAGUAGGGAAUCUUCGGCAAUGGGGGGAACCCUGACCGAGCAACGCCGCGUGAGUGAAGAAGGUUUUCGGAUCGUAAAGCUCUGUUGUUAAGGAAGAACGAGUGUGAGAAUGGAAAGUUCAUACUGUGACG
Molecule: ribosomal RNA, 471 nt
Filed under: Streptococcus intermedius
Lineage: Bacteria; Bacillati; Bacillota; Bacilli; Lactobacillales; Streptococcaceae
Description: bacterial SSU rRNA
Rfam family: Bacterial small subunit ribosomal RNA
Source: RNAcentral